UACGGGUUUCCAUCCAAAAGCUUAUCGACUACAUCAAAUAAAUGGUGGGGAUGUGAUAAUCGUGACGAGACCAACCCAAACAGAGCCGAGAGCCAACCUGAAGAAAGCACAGGAGAAGCAGAAAAGAAGGAAUGUGAAACCGGAAAAGGUGAAAAUAGUGAAGAAACUCCUCAAGGUUCAUCUUUGUUGAGAGCUGUGAGGAAAAGAGCUAUAGAAGAAGGCAGAGAAGCAUUUAAAUUAGGUGUUUUUCGAGGCUACGGCGUAAACAAGGUAGCCAAAAGGGAGAAAAUAUUGCUUCACCAAAUAUUUGGAUCUUCAUUGCCAAAGUCAUGGAUACAUGAUUUGUAAUUUAGGAUUUGGAUUUCAUGUAGUAACAUUGUCAUGUGGUUUUCGAACUCAACUGUUUGAUCUCAAAUUAACAACCGAUCUUAGAUCGUUAACUUUAUGAAAUUGAAAACAGCUGUUUUUCCUAUUAGGAUUUGGAUUUCAUGUAGUAACAUUGUCAUGUGGUUUUCGAACUCAACUGUUUGAUCUCGAAUUAACAACCGAUCUUAGAUCAUUAACUUUAUGAAAUUGAAAACAGCUGUUUUUCCUAAUGCAGGGAAUCCAAAUUCAUUAAUCAAGGGUGAUUAUCAUUCUGCAGAGUCUUGUAGACUUUGUUUGCUGCAUUGAGUUCUUAGGGAACAACUUCAUGAGAAUGUUUCUCUUUUUUUUUAUUUAUUUUUAUGAUAUUGUAGUCUUCAUCUCUAGUAGUUUUUUAAGGCUGGUGUUUGGAACUAAUGGCAUGAGGCACUUUUGUUCUUAUUGUACUUCCUGAUAGCAUAUCAUUAGGAGGCUGAUGAUACUACAUUGAAAGAACAAGAGAACAAAUUAAAUAAUGACUUAUUUGCGUACGGUUAGUUUAGCUAACAGCAAUUAACAUUUUUCCUCUCUUUUUCAUGGUAUCAUAUUGAAGAUUUAACCAAAGCCUCUAUUUACAACACAAACACAAUGUUUAGUGGGAAAUUUAGAAAUGGAAGGAUCUUUAAUUACCAUAUGGCUUCCCUAAAUCAUACAUCAUUAAAUAAUCAAUAUUUACAUCUACUAACCACAUAAAUAGCACUACUAACACAAGUUUAAACUACAAUUCUUUAUGAAAUUAACAAUAUCAAUAGUAAGAAAGAUGUGUGAAAACUUUCUAUUCAUGUAUUUUGUUAUUUUGUUUUUUUCAUUAUUAAGACCAUAUCUAUUUCUGUUGUUUAUGUUAUGAAUUUUAUUUUAGAACUUGAUGAAAGAUCUAAAAUUCAUUAAACAAUUUAUUUCACAAUAAUAUUUGACUAUUUUCAAUUAAUAAAAAAAUUAUUUAAAAAAAAAAAAUGUAACUUUUAUUCUUACUGAUCACCAAAUAACAAAAGUAUUUCUUAUUCAUGAAAUCCUUUUUAUUACUUUCGUUUUGAUUCAACAUUUUAGUUACCUUAUUUUAUUUUUUAUUAGAUGCAGAUGAUUUUAUUCUUAAUAUUUAGUUGGGAAUGAUAACAAAAUAGGUUAGUAUAUUAAAACUAUAAUUAUAAUUUAAGGUAAAAGCGAAACAAAUAUAUUACAAUUAGUCUUUUAUUAUUUUCUAUUCAAUAAGGCAAAGAGGCAUUUAUCGGGAUGAUAGAGUUUGGACAUGGUACUAUAAUACUCAUCCCCAUAUCCGUGAUUUAAAAAAAUCCCCGUGCCCGAGCCCAUACCCGCUUGGGUGCCAAAGUUAGCACCCGUACCCGUGCCCUAUGGGUAUGUAAGUAUCAAUACCCGUACCCGUGACCCGCAUUCCUAUUAAAAUUAAAUAGAUCAAUUAUAAAAUAUCAUAUAAUUUUAAAUUUUUAAAAAUAUUAAAAAAAUUUCAAACAAUUUAUUGUUGAAAUAAACAAACACUUAUAUUAAAUAUGUAAUGACUUAACAUUGAUAUACGUUUUAUAAUUGAUAAACAUGCAUUUUUCUAUAACAAUAUAAACUAAAAUAUAUAAAUAAAAAUAAAAAUACAUAAAUAUAUAUUGUGCAGGUAUGAGGCAGGCUGGGUACCAAGGUGCCCAUACCCGCACCCGUACCCACUUUUUUUUAUGGGUAAUUAUCCGAGCCCAUGCCCGUAUCCAUUUUUGCGGGUUUUUACCCUACCCGUUAUGCGUAAAUUUGCGGGUGCCCGUUGGGGAUGGGUCAAAUUGUCAUCCCUAGGCAUUUAGUUCGGCAAUGUAUAACUCUCUUAAAAAAAUUGUUAGUAUCUUCCCAUAAAAUGGAGAAUUUUUAAAGGGGUCUAUCAUUAAAACUGAUGAAUGAUGAACGGUAUGAAUGUUGAUCUUCUCUGAAGAAUCCGUGUUGCCUAAGAUGUAAUAUGAAAGAUGGAUCUUUUCUGAAGAAUCCUUGUCGUCUAAGAAGCAAUAUAAAUGUUGGAUAUUCUCUAAAGAGUUCUUGUUGCCCAAGAGGCAAUAUAAAUGUUGGAUUUUUUCUAAAAGAGUCCUUGUCGCCCAAGAGACAAUAUAAAUGUUACAUUUUCUAUGAAGAAUUAUUGUCGCUCAAGAGGAAAUAUGGAUGCUAGAUCAGUACUAAAGGAUUCUCAAGCUUUGUGAAACUCACUAUUGGCUCUCUUGCCAGAUCCUAAAGUACACUAUGACAUUGACCAUUUAAUAGGCAACAUAACGAAUGACACAUUGCAAGUCUCGAUUAGGAGACUCAACUCAAGUCUCGCCCGAGGGACUCAACUUAAAUCCUAUAUUGAGGAACUCAACUUAACGUCUCACCUAAGAGAUUCAACUUAAAAUCUCAGUCCCUAAAGAUCGUCUCAGACUGUAAAAUUGAGACGACCUUUGUUAGGGAUAUCUGAAGUCUCGAAACACUCAAACUAAAUCACUUUGUCCUUUAAAAGACCCCGUGCUUGAGGAAUUAUGUAUUGUGAUAAGUGUUGGUGUAAGCCCUAGAGGUCAAUACUUUUGGUAUUUGUAUCGAAUUAUUUAUUAAUAAUAAAAGGCUUUUUCUUUAUUAUGUUUGUUUAAUAAAGUCCCUAGAAUAUCCAGUCCGUUUAAUGUAUCAAGUGUGACUUGAUCAUGAGAUCACAUUAAACAUAUUAAAGUAUCCGUAGUCGAGCUUUAUUGUGAAGUAGGAUAACAUUAAAGCAUUAAGAUUAUUAUGUAUAUAGACUGAUGAUCACAUCUCAUGGAUCAUGGAUAAGGAGUUAUCAAGUCUUAAACAUAGGUUAUGAAAUAUUUAGAGUAAUAUUUAUUACCGGAUUGACCGCUAUGAGAUACUAAUAGAAUGUUAUGCAAAGUGUCAUAAGUUAUUCUCAUGGUGAUAAUGAUGUAUACCACUCUUCGACCUGAAACACUAUGGACCAGAUGUAGAGUCGAGUGCUUUGUUGUUGAUCCACGAUCAACUUAUAUAGAUAAAGUAAAUCCUAAUGCAAAGUACGGUAUAUAUGAUAUACUGUUUAUGUUUCGUUCAUUCAAACACUAAAUGGUUAUUUUCCUUGAGCGAUCAAUGGUCAUUUGCUUCGGAAUCCGACAUUAGUAUGUGGUGAAGCAAUGACCUGUUGAUCAAUCAUAUUGAAUCAACAAUCGAGGUGUGUUUGACGGUUGAAAUUGGUGAUUAGGGUUAGUGACGGCGCAAGGGUUGUGCCGUCAAGAAAGUUGUGAAUUAAGGGCUUGUUGGAACACGUCUGUUGACUGUUUCAAAGCGCUGGUUUUUGGCCGCGUGACGAUCGUCAUGGACUUGUGACGAUCGUAACAAGCUGGACGUGACGGUCGUCACGUGCUUUGUGACGGUCGUCACAUUCACAGAUCCAGAAUUCUAGGCGUUUCUGUUUUUGGUCGUGUGACAUUCGUCAUGGGCCUGUGACAGUCGUAACAUGCUUGUGACGGUCGUCACACUCACAAAGUCAGAAUUCUCGGGAUUUCUAUUUUGUGACUGUGCAAGAGUUGUGUCGAUGCAAAACGACGCCGAUUUCAAAUGAAUUGUUCAUUAAAACAACGCCGAUUUCAAAUGAAUUGUUCAUGCAAAACGAACACCCGUUCUCGUUGACCGGGCAGCGGACCCCCGACUAACUCUGUGUAGUGUGAUCGGUCGCUGAAAUUUAAUUUGGUUUUAAGUAAUUAAAGGAAUUAAAAUUAAUAAUAAUAAUGUGUUUGUUAUUAUUGCCUUGUGGUGAUCAGUUAUGGCCUUAAUUAUCCUUUAUAUUGUUUUGGGUUUUAAAAUACGACCUGCGUGUCGUGCUCUCCUUUUAAUCUCUUAAUGUAAACUUCUUUUCUCAUCUCAAUCCCUCGUAUGUAAAACGAGUUUCUUCUGUAAUGUAAUGUUAUGAAGAAAGAGAAGAAGACAAUGUUAUGAAGAAAGAGAAGAUUUCAAUAUCAAAGGAGGACAACCUUGAAGACAAAGGAGGACAACCUUUGAAGAUUUGCUUGGGAAGCUUAGAUCGUUAUUAGGUUAGCUUAGGUUCUCCUCAUUGGUGGGAGAACAAUUGCGCUAGGGGCCAUAUUGUUACUUAUUAUGUUGAUGCAUGUGAUUGUAUGUUGAUGCAUGUGAUUGUAUGUUUGCAUGUGAGAGACGAUUUUAUGAUAUAAUAAGCAAGUUGAGAUCAGAAAUAUUGCAAUUCCUCAAAUUAAUUUAAGUUUAAUGCUUCCCAAGUUUAAGCACUCAUCCAAAGACUGAUAUGGAUAAUGUGGUUCUCGCCUCCGAGGUGCAAUGUUCUUAUAUUAUAGGUGGAUAAGGAUAAUUGUUAAUGCAACUUCUUAAANNNNNNNNNNNNNNNNNNNNNNNNNAAAACCGUUGAAAGUGGGCGUACCAAAAUCUGGCCAACACACUGUUGACCAAAGGAAUGGCAACAAUGGACGAAUUUAAAUACGGGUUUCCAUCAAAAGCUUAUCGACUACAUCAAAUAAAUGGUGGGGAUGUGAUAAUCGUGACGAGACCAACCCAAACGAGCCGAGAGCCAACCUGAAGAAAGCACAGGAGAAGCAGAAAAGAAGGAAUGUGAAACCGGAAAAGGUGAAAAAUAGUGAAGAAACCUCAAGGUUCAUCUUUGUGAGAGCUGUGAGGAAAAGAGCUAUAGAAGAAGGCAGAGAAGCAUUUAAAUUAGGUGUUUUUCGAGGCUACGGCGUAAACAAGG
Molecule: long non-coding RNA, 5113 nt
Filed under: Lathyrus oleraceus (garden pea)
Lineage: Eukaryota; Viridiplantae; Streptophyta; Magnoliopsida; Fabales; Fabaceae
Description: Pisum sativum (pea) long non-coding RNA (PSAT_LNC039024)
Source: RNAcentral